Long non-coding RNA from Lytechinus variegatus (green sea urchin), 948 nucleotides. RefSeq lists it as uncharacterized. Lineage: Eukaryota; Metazoa; Echinodermata; Echinoidea; Temnopleuroida; Toxopneustidae. The record is from RefSeq and is a predicted model, not a curated record. The transcript has 2 exons.
UAAGUUACAAAUUUAGUGACAGUACAAUUUGAUACUAUUUGCAUCGUGAUUAAAUACAACUUUUCAAGCUAACAUAGUAACAAUGCCAUGAUCAGGAUACCUUGCAAAUAAUUAAUUGCCAACUUGGAGGUGAUCAUGGAUUAGGAGAAAGGAUACAUUAUGAGCAGCUACCAUCAUCACCAUCUGUUUGGGGGCAAAGAGUCUGGUUCUGAGAGGAGGGACCCCUAUCGUACUAUGCUUCCUAUGAUCAAACCUCUACAUGCCCCUCCACAGACCAAGAAUAAGGUAGGCAUAUUAUUAAUCAGAAAAAUAAUUGCAGUAAAGACAGACAGAGAAAGAGGGAGAAAGACGAUCAGAACAUCAAAUUUUGCCUCUUUGUUCUCAAUUAUUUUUAUUUUAACUGAUGGUCCAGAAACAAAAUUUCUGUGUAUUGCUUGUUUAUUUUUUGCUCAUUUCAUCACAAAGGUUUUUAAAAGGGUAAUUUAUCGAUAAUUAGAAUGUAAUGAGUUCUCUCUUAAUGGUUUGUAACUUCAGCUUUAAACACCCAACAGAACCCACCUUUGAGAGCCCCACCCCCUUUCCCUUGGGGAAUAUAGGAGUUGUGAGAGAAGUUUGAAGUUCAAGAUUUUUAGUUGUCCCACCCUAUAAAUAGCUUCUUCAUUAUGUUGUCUUUCAAAUAUUAUGAAAUCAUAUGUUACUAGUAUGAUAGGUAAUCUAUAUCAUGAUCUUGAGAAAAUCCUGUAGGAAAUUUGGAUCUCAGAUGUUGACUCUGAAUGCUACCCUGCCCCGCCCUCCUCCUCUGCACCCAUAUUCUCAGUCACAUUACCCCAUAGAGUGAUCCCUUUAUACCCCGUGGUAUUAUCCCACCUGGUUUGAUCCCACCACUUGGGAGGCAUUACCGUACACACCUGUUCCUAUCGCAGGGGAUUCAGCACAUUCAUGUACUCC